RNAcentral lists this small RNA (1403 nucleotides) under Arabidopsis thaliana (thale cress). Its description in RNAcentral is "ATSL182300". Lineage: Eukaryota; Viridiplantae; Streptophyta; Magnoliopsida; Brassicales; Brassicaceae. The record is from RNAcentral.
UUUAAAAAUUAUAAUUUCUAAACUAAUUAUUAUGGCAUUAAAAAUAAUUUAUUACUACUUUUUGCUAUGGUUUUGCUUAUAUUUUGCUUCUCUUUUGCUUUUGUUUUGCUUGUUGUCUUCAAAUAUAGUUCUUCCAAAAUUUCUACUUAAUUGAUUCUUAAAAGAUGAUUUCAUUGCUUAAAUUAUGUUUACAUAUUUUGUUUGAAUUUUUUAUUAGAAUAACACUUACUAAAAUUAAAUUAUUAAUAUUAAAAAAACAUUACUAGUUUGCCUCAAAAUACAAUUUUUCAAGCCACUAGAAUUUUCGAUAAUAUGGAAAGCAAUAGUAUCCCACCACAAUAGUUUUGUAAAAUAGGCUUACAUUAAUUUACCCAACUUGAACUAAAUAGAGCCUAAUAACUAAAAUCUUCCACUCACACGACUGUGGAGCGAUUGGACAAGACGAAAACGAUUCGAUCUGUUAAUUUCAAGGGCCAAGGCCCAAAGGGAUUUCUGAGAACCAGGUUUGGUUCUAAAAUAAAUGUCAUUUUGCUCCUAACCAUAAGUAUGAGGGUUGUUAACAAUUUCUCUAGAAUUUAUAUGUUUAUGACAAUAUAAGUUAAAUUUCAAAAUCUUCAUAACUAUUUAUAUCAUAUAUGCCUAGCGAACAAUAUUCCUAAUUAUCAGAUCUAGCAGUAUAGAAAAAUCGUAACUAUAAUAUCACUCUUUUUCAUAUAAAACCUUUUAUGGUUGUCUAUCUUAAUCAGUAAUAUUUCGAAUUAAAAUUUUCAAAUUGAAAUCCAAAACAAAAAAAUUUUGCUCGUACCGUCCAGAAGAUAAACAAUCUCGGCUGGCUGUCCCAUAUAUCUGCGGAUAAACCUGAAUAUCAAAAUAAACAAACUUACAGUUAUACUAAAUUUACAUAUAUAAGUCUUUUUUUAAUCGAAAUACAAAAUCUGAUAAGAUAUUAAUAAUAACGUUACCUGCCAGCCGGCCUCUAUACUGUUGAGGUCAUUGUUUUCGUAGGACCUAACACCAGCCAUAGUUGACCCAAACUGAAUUUCGUAGCGUUGUUGUCAAUUUUCCAAUGUCAUACAUUCAUAGUGACUUUAGUUCUGUAUAUCCUAGGUGGAUUUUCCAUAGAACAACAACAUACUAUAUCCAAAAAAAAUAAAAAUAUCCUGAUUAGUUAUUUUUAGUUUUGUCAUUGAAAUAAUGAAAUAAUAAUAUCGAAAGUUAGUUUUGAAUGAAUUCUUUAACAUAGAAAUCCAAAAUAGAACUACUAUUCUAACAUUAGCAAAAUCACCCAAACGUUAUCUACCAUUACGAAUCAAACAAUUAAUUAGUUUCAAAUACAAAGAUUGAAUAACAUAUAACAAAAACGCAGAAAGAUCCUUGAACUUGGGGAUUUUAUCAACUCUUUA